AAACCAGGAUUAGAUACCCUAUUAUAAAAAUUUAAAUUAAUUUACUAAAAAAUUAAUAGUUAUGUUCUUUAAAUUUAAAAAAUUUGGCGGUAUUUUAGUCUUAUUAGAGGAACCUGUUUAUUAAUUGAUAAUCCACGAUUAAUUUUACUUAUUUUAAAUAAUUCAUAUAUCGCUGUCAUGAAUAUAUUUAAAAGUUUAUUUUCUUUAUUUAUUUUUAUAAUUUAUGUUAAGUCAAGAUGUGGUUUAUAAAUAAGUAUAUAAUGGGUUACAUUAAAUUUUAUUUUUGGAUUUAAAAUGAAAAUUAAAAUGAAAUUGGAUUUAAUAGUAAAUUUAUUUAU
Molecule: ribosomal RNA, 338 nt
Filed under: Hyperomyzus pallidus
Lineage: Eukaryota; Metazoa; Arthropoda; Insecta; Hemiptera; Aphididae
Description: partial 12S ribosomal RNA
Source: RNAcentral